CCUACGGGAGGCAGCAGUGAGGAAUAUUGGUCAAUGGGCGAGAGCCUGAACCAGCCAAGUCGCGUGAAGGAUGACGGCCCUACGGGUUGCAAACUUCUUUUGUCAGGGAGCAAUUGGGUCCACGCGUGGGCUUAGCGAGAGUACCUGAAGAAAAAGCAUCGGCUAACCCCGUGCCAGCAGCCGCGGUAAUACGGAGGAUCCGAGCGUUACCCGGAUUUUUUGGGUUUAAAGGGAGCGUAGGUGGAUUGUUAAGUCAGGUGUGAAAGUUUGCGGCUCAACCGUAAAAUUGCAGUUGAAACUGGCAGUCUUGAGUACAGUGGAGGUGGGCGGAAUGCGUGGUGUAGCGGUGAAAUGCUUAGAUAUCGCGAAGAACUCCGAUUGCGAAGGCAGCUCGCUGGACUGCAACUGACACUGAUGCUCGAAAGUGUGGGUAUCGAACAGGAUUAGAUACCCCAGUAGUC
RNAcentral lists this ribosomal RNA (461 nucleotides) under uncultured bacterium. RNAcentral's name for it is "partial 16S ribosomal RNA". It matches the Rfam family "Bacterial small subunit ribosomal RNA", at positions 338 to 795 of the family's 1533-position model. The record is from RNAcentral.